RNAcentral lists this ribosomal RNA (1059 nucleotides) under uncultured bacterium. Its description in RNAcentral is "bacterial SSU rRNA". It matches the Rfam family "Bacterial small subunit ribosomal RNA", at positions 28 to 1124 of the family's 1533-position model. The record is from RNAcentral.
AACGAACGCUUGCUGCAUGCUUUAUACAUGCAAGUCGAACGAAGGCCCUAGCUUGCUAGGUGUCCUUAGUGGCGCACGGGUGAGUAACACGUGGGAACAUACCUCAUAGUACGGAAUAACUGCGGGAAACUGUAGCUAAUACCGUAUAUUCCAGAAAUGGGAAAGAUUUAUCGCUAUGAGAUUGGCCCGCGCAAGAUUAGCUUGUUGGUAAGGUAAUGGCUUACCAAGGCUCCGAUCUUUAGCUGGUUUGAGAGGAUGAUCAGCCACACUGGGACUGAGACACGGCCCAGACUCCUACGGGAGGCAGCAGUAGGGAAUAUUGGACAAUGGGGGAAACCCUGAUCCAGCAAUGCAGCGUGAGUGACGAAGGACUUAGGGUUGUAAAACUCUUUCAUCGGUGAGGAUAAUGACAGUAGCCGAAGAAGAAGGACCGGCUAAUUCCGUGCCAGCAGCCGCGGUAAUACGGAAGGUCCUAGCGUUGUUCGGAAUUACUGGGCGUAAAGCGCAUGUAGGCGGAACAAAAAGUUAGAAGUGAAAUCCCUGGGCUCAACCUAGGAAUGGCUUUUAAAACUUUUGUUCUGGAAUUCAGGAGAGGAAAAUGGAAUUUCCAGUGUAGAGGUGAAAUUCGUAGAUAUUGGAAGGAACACCAGUGGCGAAGGCGAUUUUCUGGACUGAUAUUGACGCUGAGAUGCGAAGGCAUGGGUAGCAAACGGGAUUAGAUACCCCGGUAGUCCAUGCAGUAAACGAUGGGUGCUAGUCGUCGGACUUUUGUUCGGUGUCGUAGCUAACGCGUUAAGCACCCCGCCUGGGGAGUACGGUCGCAAGAUUAAAACUCAAAUAAAUUGACGGGGACCCGCACAAGCAGUGGAGCAUGUGGUUUAAUUCGACGCAACGCGCAGAACCUUACCAGCGUUUGACAUGGGAAGUGCCGGUUACAGAAUGGUAACCUUCAGUUCGGCUGGCUUCCAACAGGUGCUGCAUGGCUGUCGUCAGCUCGUGUCGUGAGAUGUUGGGUUAAGUCCCGCAACGAGGGCAACCCUUAUCGUUAGUUACUAACAG